UGUUGACUCACCAUACCCAAGUGUAUGGGACCCAAUGAAAGCAGUGCUAAGAGGGAAAUUCAUAGCACUGAGUGCACUGGUAAAGAAACUGGAGAGAUCCUACACUAGCAAUUUAACGCACACCUGAGAGCGCUAAAACAAAAAGGAGCAAACUCACCCAAGAGGAGUAGAAGGCAGGAAAUAGUCAAACUCAGGGCUGAAAUCAAUCAAAUAGAAACAAAGAGAACAGGCUGGAGAGAUGGCUCAGCGGUUAAGAGCACCGGCUGCUCUUCCAGAGGUCCUGCAACCACAUGGUGGUUCACAACCAUCUGUAAUGGGAUCUGGCACCCUCUUCUGGUGCCUGAAGACAGUAACAGAGAGAGAGAGAGAGAGAGAGAGAGAGAGAGAGAGAGAGAGAGAGAGAGAACAAAGCAAAGAAUCAGCAAAACCAAAAGCUGGUUCUUUCAAAGAAUCAACAAGAUAGAUAAACCCUUAGCCAAACUAAAGGACCCAGAGGCAGAAUCCAAAUUAACAAAAUCAGAAAUGAAAAGGGAGACAGAACAACAGAAACUGAAGAAAUUCAAAAAAUCAUCAGAUCCUACUACAAAAGCUUCUACUCAACAAAACUGGAAAAUCUAGAUG
RNAcentral lists this long non-coding RNA (621 nucleotides) under Rattus norvegicus (Norway rat). RNAcentral describes it as "long non-coding RNA NONRATT014590". The record is from RNAcentral. Lineage: Eukaryota; Metazoa; Chordata; Mammalia; Rodentia; Muridae.